RNAcentral lists this long non-coding RNA (867 nucleotides) under Nicotiana tabacum (common tobacco). RNAcentral's name for it is "long non-coding RNA (NTAB_LNC011143)". The record is from RNAcentral. Lineage: Eukaryota; Viridiplantae; Streptophyta; Magnoliopsida; Solanales; Solanaceae.
UGGGCGACCCAGAACAGAAAGUAUUCCCGCAUUUUACUGGUGUGCGACCUAGAACAGAAAGUACUCCCGCAUUUUACUGGUGUGCGACCUAGAACAGAAAGUACUCCCGCAUUUUACUGGUGGGCGACCUAGAACAGAAAGUAUUCCCGCAUUUUACUGGUGGGCGACCUAGAACAGAAAGUAUUCCCGCAUUUUACUGGUGGGCGACCUAGACCAGAAAGUAUUCCCGCAUUUUACUGGUGUGCGACCUAGAACAGAAAGUACUCCCGCAUUUUACUGGUGGGCGACCUAGAACAGAAAGUAUUCCCGCAUUUUACUGGUGGGAGACCUAGAACAGAAAGUAUUCCCGCAUUUUACUGGUGGGCGACCUAGAACAGAAAGUAUUCCCGCAUUUUACUGGUGGGCGACCUAGAACAGAAAGUAUUCCCGCAUUUUACUGGUGGGCGACCUAGAACAGAAAGUAUUCCCGCAUUUUACUGGUGGGCGACCUAGAACAGAAAGUGUUCCCGCAUUUUACUGGUGGGCGACCUAGAACAGAAAGUGUUCCCGCAUUUUACUGGUGGGCGACCCAGAACAGAAAGUGUUCCCGCAUUUUACUGGUGGGCGACCUAGAACAGAAAGUAUUCCCGCAUUAUACAGGUGGGCGACCUAGAACAGAAAGUACUCCCGCAUUUUACUGGUGGGCGUCCUAGAACAGAAGUAUUCCCGCAUUUUACUGGUGGGCGACCUAGAACAUAAAGUAUUCCCGCAUUUUACUGGUGGGCGAUCUAGAACAUAAAUUAUUCCCGCAUUUUACUGGUGGUCAACCUAGAACAUAAUGUAUUCCCGCAUUUUACUGGUGGACGACCUAGAACAUAAAGUAUUCCC